UAGGGAAUUUUCGGCAAUGGGGGAAACCCUGACCGAGCAAUGCCGCGUGAGUGAAGACGGCCUUCGGGUUGUAAAGCUCUGUUGUAAGGGAAGAACGGCAUAGAGAGGGAAUGCUCUAUGAGUGACGGUACCUUACCAGAAAGCCACGGCUAACUACGUGCCAGCAGCCGCGGUAAUACGUAGGUGGCAAGCGUUAUCCGGAAUUAUUGGGCGUAAAGGGUGCGUAGGCGGCGAGAUAAGUCUGAGGUAAAAGCCCGUGGCUCAACCACGGUAAGCCUUGGAAACUGUCUGGCUGGAGUGCAGGAGAGGACAAUGGAAUUCCAUGUGUAGCGGUAAAAUGCGUAGAUAUAUGGAGGAACACCAGUGGCGAAGGCGGUUGUCUGGCCUGUAACUGACGCUGAAGCACGAAAGCGUGGGGAGCAAAUA
This 426-nucleotide ribosomal RNA is filed under the name uncultured bacterium. RNAcentral's name for it is "bacterial SSU rRNA". It matches the Rfam family "Bacterial small subunit ribosomal RNA", at positions 355 to 774 of the family's 1533-position model. The record is from RNAcentral.